GUAAAGCCAGAAAGCAGCAGGGAGGGCGAAGCAGGUGGAAGGCUGCCUCCUGAUGCUGUGCUGAGGCCCCCUCACUGGUCUCCCUAGAGACCCGGUUUGCUUCUCUGGUGAGCCCCAGCAAAUAUUACCGGAGUCCGUGACGAAGCCUCGACCUCGUCCACGUGUCGGUGCGCUCCCGGUACCCUUUAGGCGAACCCUGCGACGACGGCGUCCGCCUCGGAGCAUGGCUGAAGCGUGAGGCCCGAGGACCUGGGAGUUCCUAAGAGACGGUGAUGAUACUUGUCUGAGACAACAGCCUGGUGAGAGAAGAACUUCCCAGACAGUGAGGUGGCUUUGUUUGGCUCCCGACCGGCCUCUCGCCGUGACUCACAUCUUCAGCCCUCUGAGAGAUAAGUGGAGCCCACAGAGGGGAUCAAGGCAGGGCGGCGGUCGGGACUGAGAUCGAUGCAGACGGUUUGACGUCAUGGCAGAGCAGCUAUCCCAGAUGAGGGGGUCCCCCUGAGAAGGAAGUAAAGCCGGAUAGCAGCAGAGAAGGUGAAGCAUUGCAAAGGUGGUCUACUUGCAAGAUAUCCCAGCCAAGGAUACUGGAGGACAGAAUGAAAGAACCACAUCACAAAUCCCACCUUGUGGAUCCUGACACACAUCGGUGUCACGGACAGGAUUCUGAGAGACAGAAGGGGUUGCAGGUUUAUCGUGCAGUCAUUAUCAAAGGAAAGACGUUUCGCCUCAGCCGCCCCUAGCCUGCCACGCCGGUGAGCAGUGUCUAGAAAGCAAGGGAGGUGACUCGAAUUUUUUAAAAACAGCACAUGCCUCAGGGCAAAGCACCCCACACUCGUUUGAGGGCUCUGUCUUCAGAACUUUACAGGGGAUCUUUGAGUAUGAGAAGUGGGACUGAGAGGUUUUUCUGUUUAAAGUCCCUGGUUUGCUGCUAAUCUUUAGUUCUCUAAGAUAGAAUGAAAGAACCACAUCACAAAUCCCACCUUGUGGAUCCUGACACACAUUGGUGUCACGGACAGGAUUCUGAGAGACAGAAGGGGUUGCAGGUUUAUCGUGCAGUCAUUAUCAGGGGAAAGACGUUUCGCCUCAGCCGCCCCUAGCCUGCCACGCCGGUGAGCAGUGUCUAGAAAGCAAGGGAGGUGACUCGAAUUUGUUAAAAAUAGCACAUGCCUCAGGGCAAAGCACCCCACACUCGUUUGAGGGCUCUGUCUUCAGAACUUUACAGGGGAUCUUUGGGUACGAGAGGUGGGGCUGAGUGGUUUUUCUUCUGUUUCAGUCCCUGGUUGGCUGACAAGCUUUUGUAGUCCCAGAUGGAAUAAAGGAACCACAUCGGGAAUUCCACCUUGUGCAUUGUGACAGUAACUCAGAGUGCUUUUUUCUUUUCUGUCU
Molecule: non-coding RNA, 1386 nt
Organism: Cyanistes caeruleus (blue tit)
Lineage: Eukaryota; Metazoa; Chordata; Aves; Passeriformes; Paridae
Source: RefSeq, a predicted model, not a curated record